UACCCUAUGCGUUCCUUGCGGAGGUACGC
RNAcentral lists this small RNA (29 nucleotides) under Bombyx mori (domestic silkworm). Its description in RNAcentral is "piRNA piR-bmo-1597686". Lineage: Eukaryota; Metazoa; Arthropoda; Insecta; Lepidoptera; Bombycidae. The record is from RNAcentral.